UGACAGUCCCGAGGAUUCAGAGAAAAUCCUUCUGCUUUUUUCUUUAAAAAGAAGAAGACUGGAACGGACAGCGGGAUUAUGC
RNAcentral lists this small RNA (82 nucleotides) under Flavobacterium sp. S87F.05.LMB.W.Kidney.N. RNAcentral's name for it is "Flavo-1 RNA". Lineage: Bacteria; Pseudomonadati; Bacteroidota; Flavobacteriia; Flavobacteriales; Flavobacteriaceae. The record is from RNAcentral.